RNAcentral lists this ribosomal RNA (669 nucleotides) under Coccidula rufa. RNAcentral describes it as "SSU rRNA". It matches the Rfam family "Eukaryotic small subunit ribosomal RNA", at positions 510 to 1141 of the family's 1831-position model. The record is from RNAcentral. Lineage: Eukaryota; Metazoa; Arthropoda; Insecta; Coleoptera; Coccinellidae.
CGGAAUGAGAACACUCUAAACCCUUUAACGAGGAUCAAUUGGAGGGCAAGUCUGGUGCCAGCAGCCGCGGUAAUUCCAGCUCCAAUAGCGUAUAUUAAAGUUGUUGCGGUUAAAAAGCUCGUAGUCGAAUUUGUGUCUCACGCCGCCGGUUCAUCGUUCGCGGUGUCAACUGGCGUGUCGCGAGACGUCCUGCCGGCGGGCUUAGCUCGUAAGAGCGGCCCAACUCAAUCCCGCCGCGGUGCUCUUUAUUGAGUGUCGAGGUGGGCCGGCACGUUUACUUUGAACAAAUUAGAGUGCUUAAAGCAGGCUAAAACUUCGCCUGAAUACUGUGUGCAUGGAAUAAUGAAACAGGACCUCGGUUCUAUUUUGUUGGUUUUCGGAACCCCGAGGUAAUGAUUAACAGGAACGGAUGGGGGCAUUCGUAUUGCGACGUUAGAGGUGAAAUUCUUGGAUCGUCGCAAGACGGACAGAAGCGAAAGCAUUUGCCAAAAACGUUUUCAUUGAUCAAGAACGAAAGUUAGAGGUUCGAAGGCGAUCAGAUACCGCCCUAGUUCUAACCUUAAACGAUGCCAGCUAGCGAUCCGCCGACGUUCCUCCGAUGACUCGGCGGGCAGCUUCCGGGAAACCAAAGCUUUUGGGUUCCGGGGGAAGUAUGGUUGCAAAGCUGAA